This 5063-nucleotide long non-coding RNA is filed under the name Heterocephalus glaber (naked mole-rat). RNAcentral describes it as "lncRNA (ENSHGLG00000041861.1)". Lineage: Eukaryota; Metazoa; Chordata; Mammalia; Rodentia; Bathyergidae. The record is from RNAcentral.
GGGAAAGUGGACUGUGAGGGACGAGCGACGUGGCGCGGGCUCAGCUUCCAGGCUGAGUCUCAGGCAGCGGCCAGGGAAGCCCUGUGUGAGACUCGAGAAGGGAGCAAGCAUGGCCCAAGGAGACAUUUCCCUGGCGUCCAGAGCGAGCAGCUGUUUCAGCUCUGAUCUUGCCUUUGUCUGGAGCAGCUUCAUGGCUCAACUCAUUCUUUCAGAUGGGCCCAGUCACCUCACUGUCCCUGAUAGGACUUGCUGGGGUUAAAAUCAAAGCGAAGUCAAGCAUAGUUUAGGAAUAGGGCUGCAGUGGAAGUGACAGAAGAGGGGCUACAUGUGCCUUAAUAAACCAUAGGCAAAUUCGAGGGGACUGAGCCAAAGGGAAGCUUUAAAGGCAAAAUGAAGAGGACUACAGAGGAUGUUUUGGAAUAAUAAUCUUUGGUCACAAUGAUCAGUAAUAAAGAUGACAUCACAUAGAGGUUGGAACAUAUAAUUGGGGGCAGAGUUCCUUGAAGUACUGGAGCUUGAACUACAUCCCCAGCCAAAGUCUUGCUCAACUGCCCUGGCUGGCCUGGAACUUGCAAUCCUCCUGCCUCAGCCUCCUAAUGCUGGAAUUAUAGACAUGUAGCCCCACACCAAGCCAAAGUACUUUAUGUAUAAGGUUGUGGUGGCUGUUGUGCGAGCUAUGCUUCUGGUGGAGCCUUUUGUGAGUGCUACUAUCAGGCAACCACACACAAGAAGCCUUCUUUCACAACUUCCUGGCUUUGCUUCUCUUAGGGUUGACAGCUAAGCGACUCCACUCUGAUUCUGACAACUUUCACGGAACUCCGGGAACUGCCUCUCCCUAGGCCUGGCCCUGCUCACACGUGGUCUGUGGCUGAGAUAGCACUCAGCCACAGGUGGUUUCUGAGGCUGGUGACCUUUGAGGAUGUGGCUGCGGACUGCACACUGGAGGACCCUGUACUUGAGCGGAAUGAGACGUGGAGGUUCUGCAUCACCUCGUCUUCCUGUCUCCUUUGGGACCCCACAGGUGAGCUGCAUGCUUUGCCCCAGUGUUUACAUGGAGCCUGUGGGGCCUCUGCCUCCAUUGGGGCUAGCCAGGGAGGCUGCGUGGCUUUCCAGUACAUGUCUCGGUGCCAGCCAUUUCUCCUGCCACCACAGAGCCACCGCUGGUCCUGUUCACAAUCCUACCCUUUGUUGGGGGCCACAGACCUGGCCUGAGGGUUCUGCCUCUGGCUGCACUAUGUCUCCUUGGAGACCCUGUGGAGAAGGGCCUGUCAGGUGGCAGCACUGGUCUCACAAUCCCAAGUUUCUGUCUGUGGUGCUGGGGAUUGAAUUGGAAUCAUGCAUGCUAGAAAAGUAAAAGUGCUCUAAUCCUGAGCUUACCUCUAACUUCUCAACUUUUCUUUUUUUUUCUGUCAUACUGAGGAUUGAAUCCAGGUCCUUCACACUGAGCUACAUCACCAGCACCUUUUAAUUUUUUGUUCAGAGACAGGGUCUUGGUGAGUUGUUAAGUUACCCAGACAGGGCUCCAGCAUGCAAUCACCUGCCUUGACCACCCAGAGUGCUAGAAUUAGUCAUGUACCACCACACCUGUGUUCAACUUUCCAUUCCUUUUUUUUUUUUUGGACUGGGAGUCAAACUCAGAGCCUUGUGCUUGCCAGGCAGGCACUGUGCCACUGAGCUACAUCCCCAGCCAAGUUUCCAUUCUUUACAUCCAAGCCUUUAUCCUCCUCUGGAUACCAGGUGUAGGCAGGCAUGACUUGCAGAUUGUAUCUCCUGGGGGGUCUGAGCAUGUGUGUCACCCUGCACUAGAUGCUGGCUGGUCAAAGUGUGGUCACAAAGUGUCCCCAGGCCCCAGAUCUGCUGCCUGCAGGCAAGUCUCUGCAUUUUCUCAUCCCUGCCCUAGGAACUGAGCACUGGGGUGGGAUGUGGGUGUAGAGGAGUCACAGGAAGAAGAUGGAGACAAACUUGUGUGGAUGGCAUCUCCAGAAACAUGGUGUGCUGGGCUCUGGCUUGUCCUCUGCAAUGCUGUCCUGGGGUGGAAGGGCUGGGCAGGAUGGAGAGGGAGGGCAGACCUGCCCCAGGCCAGACCUCAACCCAGAAGUGCCCCCAGCCCACAGCCUUGUCCCCAGGCCCAGCCACCCCGUCUGACCACCCUGGGCCUGCUCUCCUUGACCCCAAGCAAGGCCCUACUGAACAUCUACCUGAGUGUCAAGUGUGUCCCUGGGUACCUCACAGUUCUCUGCCCCUGAGCAAAGGACUGAAACAAGACCAUUUUCGCCCUCUGCCUCACAAGCGGAAGGACUCGAGUUCGAUCACCGGUACCAAAAAAAACAACAACACAAAGAAACAAGACCAUUUUAUGGAAGGAAAAUGAAGGCACUGAGCAUCUCUGGGAAGCAAAUUCCCCCAGUACCACCUACCCAGGACUAGACCUCCAGCCACCAUGAAGACAGCAGUGCUCAAGUGGAUGGAUGGGGUGGCUGGUACCCCAUUAAGGCACCCAUGUGGACAGUGGUGGGGUGACCCACAGCCCCUGGAAUUAGUCUGGGAGUGGGAUGCCCCCACUGGGCACUGCUGUGGGUAUCCAGACAGCUGCUGUGGAUCUGGCUGCUCAGGGAGAAGGCAGCUUGUAGCAGGAAGCCCAAGACUUCCAGGCCCACUGGUGGUCAGGCCCAGCUCAGCCUUGAUAACAGGAUAGCAUGGCACCUGCCCAGGCAAAGCUUUUGUCAAACAGAACAACAAACACCUCAUAGUGUCCCUAAGGCACCUCCACCUCCACGUCUUCCCUCCCAGCUCCAGGCAGGGCAAGGGGCUUGGGGCUCUGCAGGAAGUGGUUUCUUGAUUUGAGUCUGAGGCUUCCGAUUUUGCCUCUGGGAUGAAGCUGCUCCAACAGGAUGACCAGGCUGGGUCUCUGUGGGUAGACACAGGGCUGUGCUCCCCUAGUUUCUUGUCGAGUCCCCUAAUGUGGGCAGAGUGGGCUGAGGAACAGCAAGUCCAGGCAGUGCUAGCAGGGAUGGGGAGCAGCUCUGAGUGACAGCAUCAGCUCAGGUUUCCUAGGGGCCUUUCGUGCCUCCUCCAGCACCCAAGAGAAAGGGACUCGAUCGCCCUGCUUGCAGACUGGGAAUCCAGCAGAGUAAGUAAAUCAAAUGCUGUGGUGCCAGUUACUGGGAGGCAGGUAUUUGGACCUCUGUGACAUCAGAAAUUUUUUUUUUAGAGAGGUCUGAGUCUUCAGCUCCAUCCAAUAAAUGCAGAGGGCCAUUAAUCCCAUUUAGAGUGGGCUCUACAAUGUCCUGAGAUGGCAGCUGCGAUCUGGAAUGGUGCCAGCAGCCCAGUAGCUCCUGAGCACUAGAGACAUUGCUGUCGAGCUGCAACUGCUACUGUAAUUUCAUUUUUCUUGUGCUGGGGAUUGAACCCAGGGCUUUGCACAUGCUAAAAUGUGUCCAACCACCGAGCUAUGCUUCAACUCCUGUACUUUUUAAUUUUUUUUGGUACCGGGAUUGAACUCAGGAACUUGUGCUUGCGAGGCAGGCACGUUGUCACUGAGCUAAAUCCCCAGCUGUACUUUUAAAAAUUUAAUUAACUGCAGCUGCUGUGUGGGACAGCUCAGGAGGAUAUUUCAGCACCGCGGACAGCUCCCCACACCGCUUCCGGGGAUGGUGCCCGGCUACUGCUGACUGACAUCGCUGCAGCUUCCCAGUUCUGCCUGUUCCUGAGCUUCCUCAGAGUGAAUUGUGUGCCCUGUAAUAGUCCGACGCCUAAGCUCCACACUGUCAGCCUUCAGGAUGUUUCUGUAGGGACAGUGUCUGACACCGGAUGGGGUCUCAUUGUGUUACUCAGACUGGCCUCAAACUCCAGGGCUCAAGUAACCCUCCUGCCUCAGUCUCCUGAGUAGCUGGGACAGCAGGUGCCCAGCUCUGGUGACUUACAGGGACAGUAUGCCAACUGUGCCCUGACAGCUGGGCAGUGACAGAUGCUUAAAGGAGUCAAACUAUGGCAUAUCCAUCCAACUGGGUAUUUCCAGCCAGAGAAGGAACAAAGAACGGACACCUGCUACAGCAUGGAUGGACUCCGGAAAACAUGCUCAGUGAAAAACGACAGAAAGCACAAAUUGUGCAUCUCCAUUUAUAUGAUGAGCCCAGAGGAGAAAAUCUGGAGAUAGAAAGGAAGUUGGUGGCUGUCAGGGACUGGGGCAGGUGGGACUGGGGAGCAGCCCAGGGGUGUAGGGCACACUCACACCGGAGGUGACACCUGGCACACAGAUGGCGUUACACAUGCAGGACACCCUCCACCCUGGUGUGCUUAUAGGGGAUGGCACAAGCUUGGGUCCCCACCCUAUAGGGCAGUGUCACACUCGGCCCACACCUGGAGCUCUCCCACGUGCACGGCGGAGUCAGAUGCAGGACAUCCCUCCUCCCGUGCAUGCCGGAGACCCCAGGCCGACUCCCUCUGCACCCCAUCUGUGUACUGCGUUGCUUGCACUGCAGUUGGGGAUGGGUGGAUCACUUGAGCCUAGUUUGAGACCAGCCUGGCAAAUGUAGUUCCCACUGACCCUGAAUAUUUCUCCACUACAUUAAACACUUUUGGACAACUAUUUAAAAAAUGUCUCUAUUGUAUGCAUCAUUGUAUUAUUCUGAUGACAGAUACUGAACCCAGGGCCUUGCACAAGGGUUUUACCACUGAGCACUCUGCCACCCCCCACUGUGUGAAUUUAUCGUUUACCUCCCACUUAGUUGGAAAUUGACCAAUUGUUGUUUUUUCUGUAUGUCCUUAAUGACUGCCUAAAAAUAAUGGGUAGAUCCUGUCCCCACUGGUGGUGAUGCAAACCAACUUAGCUAGGUGAGGGAUGUCCUUGAUAUAACUGUGACACUUGAAAACUUCAUCCACAUGCAGGCCUGUGUGAUCUGGAGUGAUUCCCGAUGUCACAAGGGUAAAUUUAACAAGUCAUCUCAGCUCAGUUUGUAUCAGUAGUAUCCAACAGAACUUUCUGCGACAAUGAAAAUGAAACUAGUGAAAAGCUGAAAGGUGGCUAGUGAGUGAUGCACUGAAUUUUGUGUUUAAAUUCAUAG